This is a long non-coding RNA of Thalassophryne amazonica, 151 nucleotides long. RefSeq lists it as uncharacterized. The record is from RefSeq and is a predicted model, not a curated record. NCBI's taxonomy places the organism in Eukaryota, Metazoa, Chordata, Actinopteri, Batrachoidiformes, Batrachoididae. The transcript has 4 exons.
AAUUAGGUACACAUCCUUUUGUGGCAUCACACAUAGUGAUUACCGCUUUCAAGCAAAAAAAAAAAAAGAUUAUUCACAUAACACUGAUGCUUGAAUUUGAAAUACACUCUUUUUCUGGAGAUGACAUUUUUGACUAAAAUUUCAUUUUUGA